This 404-nucleotide ribosomal RNA is filed under the name uncultured Lachnospiraceae bacterium. RNAcentral describes it as "bacterial SSU rRNA". It matches the Rfam family "Bacterial small subunit ribosomal RNA", at positions 305 to 726 of the family's 1533-position model. Lineage: Bacteria; Bacillati; Bacillota; Clostridia; Lachnospirales; Lachnospiraceae. The record is from RNAcentral.
CGGCCACAUUGGGACUGAGACACGGCCCAAACUCCUACGGGAGGCAGCAGUGGGGAAUAUUGCACAAUGGGGGAAACCCUGAUGCAGCGACGCCGCGUGAGCGAAGAAGUAUUUCGGUAUGUAAAGCUCUAUCAGCAGGGAAGAAGAAAUGACGGUACCUGACUAAGAAGCACCGGCUAAAUACGUGCCAGCAGCCGCGGUAAUACGUAUGGUGCAAGCGUUAUCCGGAUUUACUGGGUGUAAAGGGAGCGCAGGCGGAAGGCUAAGUCUGAUGUGAAGCCCGGGGCUCAACCCCGGUACUGCAUUGGAAACUGGUCAUCUAGAGUGUCGGAGGGGUAAGUGGAUUCCUAGUGUAGCGGUGAAAUGCGUAGAUAUUAGGAGGAACACCAGUGGCGAAGGCGGCU